UUUCGCUCUUCAACGAGGAAUCCCUAGUAAGCACAAGUCAUCAGCUUGCGCUGAUUACGUCCCUGCCCUUUGUACACACCGCCCGUCGCUACUACCGAUUGAAUGGCUUAGUGAGGCCCUUGGAUCGAUGCUCGGAGACUGGCAACAGUUUCCGUUCGUUGAGAAGUUGGUCAAACUCGGUCAUUUAGAGGAAGUAAAAGUCGUAACAAGGUUUCCGUAGGUGAACCUGCGGAAGGAUCAUUAAUAUUUGGGUAGAGUACACUACUACGAUAGUGGAUUUCGCCUAAAUAUUCUUAAUUUUUUUAAGGAGCAAGAUACUUUAUAUUUAAAACCCACUCUUUGAGCGUAUAAAUUUAUGUAUUAAUGAUAAAUUAAAGAUCACUUUCAACAACGGAUCUCUUGGCUCUCGCAUCGAUGAAGAACGUAGCGAAGUGCGAUAAGUAAUGUGAAUUGCAGAAUUCCGUGAAUCAUCGAAUCUUUGAACGCAUAUUGCACUUUCUGGUAUUCCGGAAAGUAUGCCUGUUUGAGGGUCAGUUAAAUAAAAAUCGGUGUUGUUGCUGCUUUUCGUGGUGACGCGUCGGAAUUGAGUCUUCUUAUCUUCGGCUAAGUGACUUAAAAUUUUAUAUGAUUUUCGAACGUAUUUAAAUUGCUUACGUACGUUUGAGAUAUCGAAUAUUUUAUUAGGUUCGAUCAUCCUUAUGACUCGCGCCUAUAAUUUUUUCAUUAAAUGACCUCAAAUCAGGUAAGAAUACCCGCUGAACUUAAGCAUAUCAAUAAGCGGAGGAAAAGAAAAUAACAAUGAUUCCCUUUAGUAACGGCGAGUGAAGGGGGAAAAGCUCAAGUUUUAAAUCUGCUAGGUUUUACUCAUCAGAAUUGUAAUUUGAAGAAGCGUUUUCCGCGUCUCGGUUGACCCAAAUCCUUUGGGAUGAGGUAUCAUGGAGGGUGAGAAUCCCGUUCGGUUGACCUUAUGACGUUCUACGAUACGCUUUCUAAGAGUCGAGUUGUUUGGGAUUGCAGCUCAAAAUGGGAGGUAAAUUUCUCCUAAGGCUAUAAUAUCGGCGAGAGACCGAUAGCGAACAAGUACCGUGAGGGAAAGAUGAAAAGAACUUUGAAAAGAGAGUAAAAUAGUACGUGAAAUUGUUGAAAGGGAAACGAUUGAAGUCAGUCGUACCGACGAGAAAUCAACUUAUCGCGUGCGAACUUGUGGGCGUGCGUGAGUUUCGGCCUCGCUGUUUGCAUGCUUGUGCGUUUUGGGUGUACUUUUUCGUAUGGUAGGCCAACAUCAGUUUCGAUUACUAUAAAAUGACCGGCGGAAUGUAGCUUCGAUUUCGGUUGAGGUGUUAUAGCCUCUGGUAGAUGUGGUGAUUGGGACUGAGGAUUGCAACGAAUAUCCUUUGGGCUAUCCGUCUGAUCUCUGAAAGUUGCUCAGGUGCCGAAAGCGUGCUUACGGUCAUCUAAGUUGACGGUCAAUAGGUUAGAACGUGAUCACAUUCGUUAAGGAUGUUGGCGUAAUGGCUUUAAACGACCCGUCUUGAAACACGGACCAAGGAGUCUAACAUGUGUGCGAGUGUUU
RNAcentral lists this ribosomal RNA (1573 nucleotides) under uncultured Glomeromycotina. RNAcentral's name for it is "eukaryotic LSU rRNA". The stretch from base 729 to 1573 matches the Rfam family "Eukaryotic large subunit ribosomal RNA", at positions 1 to 695 of the family's 3401-position model. Lineage: Eukaryota; Fungi; Glomeromycota. The record is from RNAcentral.